UGGAUAUGAUGUUAGAAAUAUAUUUGCUACUUCAGACGGGAGUCACAUCCCGAAUGAGACAUAAACAUAUAUCACCAAGAUCUCUGAUCCC
Molecule: small nucleolar RNA, 91 nt
Filed under: Sugiyamaella lignohabitans
Lineage: Eukaryota; Fungi; Ascomycota; Dipodascomycetes; Dipodascales; Trichomonascaceae
Description: Candida lignohabitans Small nucleolar RNA SNORD24
Rfam family: Small nucleolar RNA SNORD24
About the family: U24 is a member of the C/D class of snoRNA which contain the C (UGAUGA) and D (CUGA) box motifs. C/D box snoRNAs have been shown to act as methylation guides for a number of RNA targets.
Source: Rfam by way of RNAcentral